Long non-coding RNA from Fukomys damarensis (Damara mole-rat), 240 nucleotides. RefSeq lists it as uncharacterized. The transcript has 4 exons. Lineage: Eukaryota; Metazoa; Chordata; Mammalia; Rodentia; Bathyergidae. The record is from RefSeq and is a predicted model, not a curated record.
CAAAGGCAGGGUGAUAGGAACAAAUCUCAACAUGUUUGUUCCUGACAUGAGCUGAAUGUAGGAAACUGUGAGGAACCAAGGAAGAAGAUGGUCAUCUAUGAAUCAGAAACUUGAGCAGCUGUUGUUACUAGCUUCAAUUUCCCUGAGAUCAGUUGUUCCAACCAUAAAAUAAACAUUUCUUCAUAUCAUCAUUCAUGAAAUAUUCCAUGUGCUGUAGAAAUGAGGCAAAGGAGACCCCUG